AACUUUUGUAAUUUAUCAUGCAUCAAAACAAAUUUUGUCUCUGUUUCGCGAAUUUUAGUGAAGCAAAACGGGUCAUCACUAUUGGUAGCUAUUGGCUAUUUAGCCAUAGUUCCAAGUAUAUCUAAGAUAUUGUUUGGCUUUAAAAGUCAUCCUAACUGACGUUCAGGCUAGGCUUUCUGGUGUGCCUAGGAGACCAAGUAAGCAUUCUCCCCAAACCUGCCUUCAGGUUGGGCCCCCUGCCACUGCCUCAGCCCUCCUCUACAACAUAUAGGGUCGCCCAACAUUUUGGGAAGCACUGGGUUAGGUAUGGGAAGGAUAAAAUGAGCCAAAAGCUUUCGCUAUACAAUAAUUGCCUGUAAAAGCCUUCUUAUAACAGUUCAAACUCUUGUUUUUGGUUUUAAAUGAAUGCUAUAGUUUGUUGCAUAACGAAUAUAAAACACCCUUUGUCCAUAGGGACAUUAAGGAAUGUGUGCAUCAAUCCUACCAUAACUAGUUAGAAUUAAACCUCUAUCAAAUGUGCGUAGCAUGAGACAUUUGCAUAUCUUCUGCUAUGACUUAUAUUACUGCACAGUGAAAACAUUUUUGGCCCUUUUUAGCUUCCCCCACCCUAUGCUCCCAGAUUCCUCCUUUGGUUGCUAUUCAAGUCUUUCUGCUCAGAAGCCAGGUUCCAAAGUCUUCCACUGAUGUAACCUAACAAGACUGAAGCAGAUUGUCUGCAGAUUAGGAUUUAUGGCUCUGGAUCUUUAGGCUGUAUCUGUAGUUAUAAAACAGUGGUUCUGCAGGCAUGGCUGGCAUCUGUGAUAAGAAGGCUUUUAUUGGUAAGAUAAGAAGGCUUUUAUUGUAUUCCAAACAUGGUAAAGUGCUACAAAGUAGCACAGGAUCUCUGUGCCCUGCAAAAUUGCACAUAAUAGAUGUUGGUCAAGUGCUCUUAUUUGAAAGGCUCAUUUUGACCAAGGGCACAGAUAAAUAAUUAAAGUGGAUAAAGCAAUAGUAGCUAUAGAACCUCUUAAACUACAGAAGAUUAAUACCUUCCAUUGAGACUAGUCUGUAUCCUUAGGCAAAUCAUAUAUGUAUUUAAACAGAGUAGAAAACCAUUAGAGGAAAUAGAGUUUAGAUUUGUUUGUUGCUUCUCCUAAUGUUACUCAUUGUAUGAAUUAGGUUAGAUAAUUGCAGUUUGUAUAUGGUGGGAUUGCUCCAUUUUCCUUAUUCCAUUGCUUACCAGGACAUCGGCACUAAUGAUGGAAGAAAUCUGGUUCCUGACUCUUGUUUAACAAUGCUGUGACAGAUCACUUCUCCUUAUAAUAACUUGGAAUGAAGAUUGAAUAAACUCUUCCCAGAAACACAAAACGUUUAUAACCUGAAAAGAUGAAACCCAGUAUAGCCCUUUUCCAAUGGGAAACAGAGGAAAGAAAGUUCCAUGGAUACCGCUGGAUACAACUAGAAAAUAGAAGAUUUAAGCACAGAAAGCAAGUCCAACAAUAGAAUUAACCCAAGACACAUGGCACAUUUAGGCCAGGUUUCUCGUUCUUAUUAUCUGGAAAACAGUUAUCUUUUCUACCAUUACCCUCUGACUGCUAUAGAUUAUUGAAUCCAACCUCAAGAGGCUACUCUUUCUGUUCACAUGUACAGAAGACGUACUACCAUAUUGAUUACAUAUUGAUUACGUGUGAAGCUUUCCAGCAAUUUCAUUCAGCAGAAGCAUCAACAAUCUCCAGCUAAUAAGUCCCAGAGCAACAACUGGGCACAAUGCUCUGAAGCUGUUCUAUAUAAAUCAUGGAGUGAUGUGAGUUAAUUCUCAAGAGAUUGCUUGUAUAAACACAAAAAUCAGAACACCGAGAGACCUUUCCCUCACACAUAAGAGAGAUACCCCAGUUACUGCUCUCUGAAUAUCACCAGCCUUAAUUAGCACUCACCCUGCAUUCACAUGUAAAACCUGCCCUGUUUCUUUUGAUGAAUAAAUGUAUCUGUCCUAGUUUCAA
This is a long non-coding RNA of Xenopus laevis (African clawed frog), 1979 nucleotides long. RefSeq lists it as uncharacterized. The transcript has 2 exons. The record is from RefSeq and is a predicted model, not a curated record. Lineage: Eukaryota; Metazoa; Chordata; Amphibia; Anura; Pipidae.